UGGGGAAUAUUGCACAAUGGGCGAAAGCCUGAUGCAGCAACGCCGCGUGAGGGAAGACGGUUUUCGGAUUGUAAACCUCUGUUUUCGGUGACGAACAAAUGACGGUAACCGAGUAGGAAGCCACGGCUAACUACGUGCCAGCAGCCGCGGUAAUACGUAGGUGGCAAGCGUUAUCCGGAUUUACUGGGUGUAAAGGGCGUGUAGGCGGGACGGCAAGUCAGAUGUGAAAACUAUGGGCUCAACUCAUAGCCUGCAUUUGAAACUACUGUUCUUGAGGGUCGGAGAGGUAACUGGAAUUCCUAGUGUAGCGGUGAAAUGCGUAGAUAUUAGGAGGAACACCAGUGGCGAAGGCGGGUUACUGGACGAUACCUGACGCUGAGACACGAAAGUGUGGGGAGCAAACAGGAUUAGAUACCCUGGUAGU
Molecule: ribosomal RNA, 424 nt
Filed under: uncultured Clostridium sp.
Lineage: Bacteria; Bacillati; Bacillota; Clostridia; Eubacteriales; Clostridiaceae
Description: bacterial SSU rRNA
Rfam family: Bacterial small subunit ribosomal RNA
Source: RNAcentral